This 460-nucleotide ribosomal RNA is filed under the name uncultured bacterium. Its description in RNAcentral is "partial 16S ribosomal RNA". It matches the Rfam family "Bacterial small subunit ribosomal RNA", at positions 338 to 795 of the family's 1533-position model. The record is from RNAcentral.
CCUACGGGUGGCAGCAGUGAGGAAUAUUGGUCAAUGGACGAGAGUCUGAACCAGCCAAGUAGCGUGAAGGAUGACUGCCCUAUGGGUUGUAAACUUCUUUUAUAUGGGAAUAAAAUGUUCCACGUGUGGGAUUUUGUAUGUACCAUAUGAAUAAGGAUCGGCUAACUCCGUGCCAGCAGCCGCGGUAAUACGGAGGAUCCGAGCGUUAUCCGGAUUUAUUGGGUUUAAAGGGAGCGUAGGUGGAUUGUUAAGUCAGUUGUGAAAGUUUGCGGCUCAACCGUAAAAUUGCAGUUGAAACUGGCAGUCUUGAGUACAGUAGAGGUGGGCGGAAUGCGUGGUGUAGCGGUGAAAUGCUUAGAUAUCACGAAGAACUCCGAUUGCGAAGGCAGUUCACUGGACUGCAACUGACACUGAGGCUCGAAAGUGUGGGUAUCAAACAGGAUGAGAUACCCGGGUAGUC